CCCUGCUCACGUGACGCCUUUCUGUGCGCUACCUCUGCUCUCAGAUCUCUGUCCCCGGCGAGUGCGGGCAUCACUGAAGAUUUGACACCGGCGGAAUCGGACGUCCACUGUCCUCGGCAGAACUAACCAGGUGUUCUCUUAUGCAAACCGCAUCGCCAUCAGAUGAAGCUGACCAGCCGGUCGAUGGCCAUGAGUCCUCUCCGCGGGAGGAACAGACUUUUUUCCGCGCCCAAACGACCGAAGAGGCGCAGAUCCGAGACAAUAACGCCCAGAAGUUAUUGAAAUGAAUCGAGCUGGCACGUGAAGAAAAAAAUCGAACGAGCGCCUUCGCCGCAGAGGGAAGCACGGGAAGCAGAAGAGCAAAUUAGGAAAAGACGAGCAAUAAAAGAGAGGUCCAGACUUGAAGGACGCAUUGCAUUCACACACACACAUGCAAAGGCACCGAGUGUCUGUCUGCGGUGUACCAGCUCACUCCACACGAGGGCAGCAGAUAAAGAGGGAGUCGCCAUUCCAGCUGUGAGGAGGCGGAAGAAGUCGACACACACACACAGACAUACACACACACACACACAUACACACACACACAAACACAGAGCUGGAGGCGCGUGAGCAGGUGAGCAUUAAGUCUGGCAGCUAAACAGAUCACGUCGCGGUAUGAUGUCUGCAGACAGAGGAGGCCGGUCUGUACCUGCAGGCAGAGCAACAACACACAGCACACUCGCCAGGAAUGUGCUCCCCCUCCUGAGAAGGGAGAGGGGGAGAGAAAGAGAGAGAAUAUUUGAUUAGAAGCAGCAGCGAUGCAUUUAAUAAUGAAAUCAUUAGAGGCGUGUAUUUCAGCCCAGCAUCUCAUAAAAAAGGUUUUAAAACAGGAUUUAUUUAGAUUUAUGUUUAGUUGUUUCACCCAUAUGCAGCAAAGUGCAAUAACAAUGUUUGUGUUGGUAAAGAACUUUAAAUAUUAAUAAAAAUUAGCUAACAAUAAAGGACGUUCUUUUCAUCUUUCUCUUUUUUAACACGUAGUUUUCAUAUUCAACCCAGUUC
Long non-coding RNA from Cyclopterus lumpus (lumpfish), 1038 nucleotides. RefSeq lists it as uncharacterized. The record is from RefSeq and is a predicted model, not a curated record. The transcript has 4 exons. Lineage: Eukaryota; Metazoa; Chordata; Actinopteri; Perciformes; Cyclopteridae.